RNAcentral lists this ribosomal RNA (253 nucleotides) under uncultured bacterium. Its description in RNAcentral is "partial 16S ribosomal RNA". It matches the Rfam family "Bacterial small subunit ribosomal RNA", at positions 524 to 776 of the family's 1533-position model. The record is from RNAcentral.
UACAGAGGGUGCGGGCGUUGUUCGGAAUUACUGGGCGUAAAGCGUGCGCAGGCGGUUCGUUAAGUCAGAUGUGAAAGCCCCGGGCUCAACCUGGGAACUGCAUUUGAAACUGGCGGGCUUGAGUGUGGCAGAGGGGGGUGGAAUUCCGCGUGUAGCAGUGAAAUGCGUAGAGAUGCGGAGGAACACCGAUGGCGAAGGCAGCCCCCUGGGCCAACACUGACGCUCAGGCACGAAAGCGUGGGGAGCAAACAGG